GUCUAAGUAUAAGCAAUCUAUACAGUGAAACUGCGAAUGGCUCAUUAAAUCAGUUAUCGUUUAUUUGAUAGUACCUUACUACUUGGAUAACCGUGGUAAUUCUAGAGCUAAUACAUGCUAAAAACCCCGACUUCGGAAGGGGUGUAUUUAUUAGAUAAAAAACCAAUGCUCUUCGGGGCUCCUUGGUGAUUCAUGAUAACUUAACGAAUCGCAUGGCCUUGUGCCGGCGAUGGUUCAUUCAAAUUUCUGCCCUAUCAACUUUCGAUGGUAGGAUAGUGGCCUACCAUGGUUUCAACGGGUAACGGGGAAUUAGGGUUCUAUUCCGGAGAGGGAGCCUGAGAAACGGCUACCACAUCCAAGGAAGGCAGCAGGCGCGCAAAUUACCCAAUCCCGACACGGGGAGGUAGUGACAAUAAAUACUGAUACAGGGCUCUUUUGAGUCUUGUAAUUGGAAUGAGUACAAUUUAAAUCCCUUAACGAGGAACAAUUGGAGGGCAAGUCUGGUGCCAGCAGCCGCGGUAAUUCCAGCUCCAAUAGCGUAUAUUAAAGUUGUUGCAGUUAAAAAGCUCGUAGUUGAACCUUGGGCCUGGCUGGCCGGUCCGCCUCACCGCGUGCACUGGUCCGGCCGGGCCUUUCCUCCUGGGGAGCCGCAUGCCCUUCACUGGGUGUGUCGGGGAACCAGGACUUUUACUUUGAAAAAAUUAGAGUGUUCAAAGCAGGCCUAUGCUCGAAUACAUUAGCAUGGAAUAAUAGAAUAGGACGUGUGGUUCUAUUUUGUUGGUUUCUAGGACCGCCGUAAUGAUUAAUAGGGAUAGUCGGGGGCAUCAGUAUUCAAUUGUCAGAGGUGAAAUUCUUGGAUUUAUUGAAGACUAACUACUGCGAAAGCAUUUGCCAAGGAU
RNAcentral lists this ribosomal RNA (899 nucleotides) under Gymnostellatospora sp. Its description in RNAcentral is "SSU rRNA". It matches the Rfam family "Eukaryotic small subunit ribosomal RNA", at positions 57 to 965 of the family's 1831-position model. The record is from RNAcentral. Lineage: Eukaryota; Fungi; Ascomycota; Leotiomycetes; Thelebolales; Pseudeurotiaceae.